CCCUUAGAUGUUCUGGGCCGCACGCGCGCUACACUGACGAUGGCAACGAGUUUUUCCUUCGCCGAAAGGUGUGGGUAAUCUUUUGAAACAUCGUCGUGCUGGGGAUAGAUCAUUGCAGUUUUUGAUCUUGAACGAGGAAUUCCUAGUAAGCGCGAGUCAUCAGCUCGCGUUGAUUACGUCCCUGCCCUUUGUACACACCGCCCGUCGCUACUACCGAUUGAAUGGUUUAGUGAGGACUCCUGAUUGGCGCCGCCGCCCCGGCAACGGAGCAGCGGACUGCCGAAAAGUUGUUCAAACUUGAUCAUUUAGAGGAAGUAAAAGUCGUAACA
This 329-nucleotide ribosomal RNA is filed under the name uncultured eukaryote. RNAcentral describes it as "partial 18S ribosomal RNA". It matches the Rfam family "Eukaryotic small subunit ribosomal RNA", at positions 1470 to 1796 of the family's 1831-position model. The record is from RNAcentral.